RNAcentral lists this ribosomal RNA (484 nucleotides) under uncultured bacterium. RNAcentral describes it as "partial 16S ribosomal RNA". It matches the Rfam family "Bacterial small subunit ribosomal RNA", at positions 30 to 507 of the family's 1533-position model. The record is from RNAcentral.
AUUGAACGCUGGCGGCAGGCCUAACACAUGCAAGUCGAGCGGAUGAAGGGAGCUUGCUCCUGGAUUCAGCGGCGGACGGGUGAGUAAUGCCUAGGAAUCUGCCUGGUAGUGGGGGAUAACGUCCGGAAACGGGCGCUAAUACCGCAUACGUCCUGAGGGAGAAAGUGGGGGAUCUUCGAGCCUCACGCUAUCAGAUGAGCCUAGGUCGGAUUAGCUAGUUGGUGGGGUAAAGGCCUACCAAGGCGACGAUCCGUAACUGGUCUGAGAGGAUGAUCAGUCACACUGGAACUGAGACACGGUCCAGACUCCUACGGGAGGCAGCAGUGGGGAAUAUUGGACAAUGGGCGAAAGCCUGAUCCAGCCAUGCCGCGUGUGUGAAGAAGGUCUUCGGAUUGUAAAGCACUUUAAGUUGGGAGGAAGGGCAGUAAGUUAAUACCUUGCUGUUUUGACGUUACCAACAGAAUAAGCACCGGCUAACUUCGUG